RNAcentral lists this ribosomal RNA (486 nucleotides) under uncultured bacterium. RNAcentral describes it as "partial 16S ribosomal RNA". It matches the Rfam family "Bacterial small subunit ribosomal RNA", at positions 30 to 507 of the family's 1533-position model. The record is from RNAcentral.
AUUGAACGCUGGCGGCAUGCCUUACACAUGCAAGUCGAACGGCAGCACGGGUGCUUGCACCUGGUGGCGCGUGGCGCACGGGUGUGAAAUACAUCGGAACAUGUCCUGUAGUGGGGGAUCGCCCGGCGACAGCCGGAUUAAUACCACACACGAUCUGCGGGUGAGAGCGGGGGCUCUUCAGGCCUCGCUCUAUGAUGUUGGCCGAUGGCUGAUUAGCUAGUUGGUGGGGUAAAGGCAUACCAAGGCGACGAUCAGUAGCUGGUCUGAGAGGAAGACCAGCCACACUGGAACUGAGACACGGCCCAGACUCCUACGGGAGGCAGCAGUGGGGAAUUUUGGACAAUGGGCGAAAGCCUGAUCCAGCAAUGCCGCGUGUGUGAAGAAGGCCUUCGGGUUGUAAAGCACUUUUGUCCGGAAAGAAAGCCUUGGAGUUAAUACGGUCGGGGGAUGACGGUACCGGAAGAAUAAGCACCGGCUAACUACGUG